This 465-nucleotide ribosomal RNA is filed under the name Vreelandella stevensii. RNAcentral's name for it is "partial 16S ribosomal RNA". It matches the Rfam family "Bacterial small subunit ribosomal RNA", at positions 338 to 795 of the family's 1533-position model. Lineage: Bacteria; Pseudomonadati; Pseudomonadota; Gammaproteobacteria; Oceanospirillales; Halomonadaceae. The record is from RNAcentral.
CCUACGGGGGGCAGCAGUGGGGAAUAUUGGACAAUGGGGGCAACCCUGAUCCAGCCAUGCCGCGUGUGUGAAGAAGGCCCUCGGGUUGUAAAGCACUUUCAGUGAGGAAGAACGCCUGGUGGUUAAUACCCAUCAGGAAAGACAUCACUCACAGAAGAAGCACCGGCUAACUCCGUGCCAGCAGCCGCGGUAAUACGGAGGGUGCGAGCGUUAAUCGGAAUUACUGGGCGUAAAGCGCGCGUAGGUGGCUUGAUAAGCCGGUUGUGAAAGCCCCGGGCUCAACCUGGGAACGGCAUCCGGAACUGUCCAGCUAGAGUGCAGCAGAGGAAGGUAGAAUUCCCGGUGUAGCGGUGAAAUGCGUAGAGAUCGGGAGGAAUACCAGUGGCGAAGGCGGCCUUCUGGACUGACACUGACACUGAGGUGCGAAAGCGUGGGUAGCAAACAGGAGUAGAUACCCGAGUAGUC